UCGAAAAAAAAAUGUUUUCAAUAAAUAAACGCCAAAAACACCUAGAAAAAGAAUUACAGCUAAGCCCGGCGUUUACUCUCUUCACUUUCAUUAUGAGUUUCUUCAUCAUUAACCUUUCAUUUGUAAAAAUAAUCUAAGGCUCUCAUCUUUACUAUGAUUAUGUCUAUAAAAAAAAUAAGGAACAAUUGAUUUAACGAUAUGAAAAAACAAUAACAAAUAACAAAACUCUACAAUUACAGAAUAACUCAUUUAACAGUAUCUAAAAAUUGAAAAUUAAAAUCAAAAGUGAAAACAAUACAUAAUCUAAAAUCUAUAACAAAUUACAAUUUACAAACUAACAAUCAACAUUGAAUUGAUUCCGAAAUCACAAAAAGUCAACAAGUGAGCAAACACAGGAGCAUAUUCGGUAGUCCUAAUUCCAUACAUACACUCCUAAUUUCUAAUCUCAAUUCCCAAAUCAGAAAUCGCAACCGGAGAACCAGAGAAGAAAGAAGUCAAGAACGACCCUUAAAUAUACUCUUAAUUCCUAAUCCCGGAUUCCCAAAUCAGAAAUCACAAGAGGAGAAUUGGAGAAGAAAGAACGAAUACCUGAUUUUCGGUGAGUGCUGGCUGUUACGGUGGAUCAGUGAAUGGCGAUUAGCGAGACCGGAGAGUCGGACACCGCGAAUCGCGAUACAGCAAGCAUCCUGACUCCAAUGAGGCGCGAGCGACGAUGGUCGAUGGGGACGGUCGGACCUCAGACGGAACUCAGGAACUAGGUCAAUUCACUUCUUGUCGCUUCAAUUUUUUAUUUAGAAAUUGGAUUGUGGAGAAAUCGGGAAGGGCCACAGCCCAAUUGUGAAAUUAACAAGCGUAUAAUAAAAAUUUUGGAGCAAUUUUUGCUAGUUCUAACCCAAAUGACAGGGGGCCACAGCCCCUCUUGGCCCUACUAAUACUCUGUCCCUGUUGGUAGUCAUGCAUGAGUUUUUGGUAUUUUUCCACAUUUUGACCUCAUUGGAGUAAAGGG
Molecule: long non-coding RNA, 1006 nt
Filed under: Lactuca sativa (garden lettuce)
Lineage: Eukaryota; Viridiplantae; Streptophyta; Magnoliopsida; Asterales; Asteraceae
Description: long non-coding RNA (LSAT_LNC007254)
Source: RNAcentral